UACGAAGGGUGCAAGCGUUAAUCGGAAUUACUGGGCGUAAAGCGCGCGUAGGUGGUUUUGUAAGUUGGAGGUGAAAUCCCCGGGCUCAACCUGGGAACUGCCUCCAAAACUGCAUGACUAGAGUACGGUAGAGGGUAGUGGAAUUUCCUGUGUAGCGGUGAAAUGCGUAGAUAUAGGAAGGAACACCAGUGGCGAAGGCGACUACCUGGACUGAUACUGACACUGAGGUGCGAAAGCGUGGGGAGCAAACAGG
This 253-nucleotide non-coding RNA is filed under the name uncultured bacterium. RNAcentral describes it as "partial 16S ribosomal RNA". It matches the Rfam family "Bacterial small subunit ribosomal RNA", at positions 524 to 776 of the family's 1533-position model. RNAcentral also lists the same sequence under 2 other names. The record is from RNAcentral.